CCUACGGGAGGCAGCAGUGAGGAAUAUUGGUCAAUGGGCUUACGCCUGAACCAGCCAAGUCGCGUGAGGGAAGACUGCCCUAUGGGUUGUAAACCUCUUUUGUCAGGGAGCAAUUGGCGCUACGUGUAGCGUUAUCGAGAGUACCUGAAGAAAAAGCAUCGGCUAACUCCGUGCCAGCAGCCGCGGUAAUACGGAGGAUGCGAGCGUUAUCCGGAUUUAUUGGGUUUAAAGGGUGCGCAGGCGGAAUGUCAAGUCAGCGGUAAAAUUUCGGGGCUCAACCCCGUCGUGCCGUUGAAACUGGCGGUCUUGAGUGAGCGAGAAGUAUGCGGAAUGCGUGGUGUAGCGGUGAAAUGCAUAGAUAUCACGCAGAACUCCGAUUGCGAAGGCAGCAUACCGGCGCGCAACUGACGCUCAUGCACGAAAGCGUGGGUAUCGAACAGGAUUAGAUACCCCUGUAGUC
This 460-nucleotide ribosomal RNA is filed under the name uncultured bacterium. RNAcentral's name for it is "partial 16S ribosomal RNA". It matches the Rfam family "Bacterial small subunit ribosomal RNA", at positions 338 to 795 of the family's 1533-position model. The record is from RNAcentral.